GCAGUCGAGCGGUAGCACAGAGAGCUUGCUCUCGGGGACGAGCGGGGGACGGGUGAGUAAUGUGUGGGAAACUGUCUGAUGGAGGGGGAUAACUACUGGAAACGGGAGGUAAUACCGCAUAAUGUGGCAAGACCAAAGAGGGGGACCUUCCGGCCUCUUGCCAUAUGAUGUGCCCACAUGGGAUUAGCUAUAAGGUGGGGUAACGGSUCUCCUAUGCGACAAUCCCUAUAUGGGSUGAGAGGAUGACCAGCCACACUGUAACUGAGACACGGUCCACACUCCUACAGGAGGCAGCAGUGGGGAAUAUUGCACAAUGGGCGCAAGCCUGAUGCAGCCAUGCCGCGUGUGUGAAGAAAGCCUUCUGGGUGUAAAGCACUUUCAGCGGGGAGGAAGGGGAUAAGGUUAAUAACCUUGUCUAUUGACGCUACCCCCAGAAAAAGCACCGGGUAACUCCGCGCCAGCAGCCGCGGUAAUACACAGGGGGCAAGCGUUAAUCUGAAUUACUGGGCGUAAAGAGCACGCAGGCGGGCUGUCAAGACGGAUGUGAAAUCCCCGGGCUCAACCUGGGAACUGCAUUUGAAACUGUGAGGGUAUAGACUUGUAUAGGGGGGUAGAAUUCCACGUGUAGCGGUGAAAUGUGUAGAGAUCUGGAGGAAUACCGCUGGGGAAGGCGCGCCCCUGGACAAAGACUGACACUCUCGUGCGAAA
This 708-nucleotide ribosomal RNA is filed under the name Salmonella enterica subsp. enterica serovar Enteritidis. RNAcentral's name for it is "bacterial SSU rRNA". It matches the Rfam family "Bacterial small subunit ribosomal RNA", at positions 57 to 758 of the family's 1533-position model. Lineage: Bacteria; Pseudomonadati; Pseudomonadota; Gammaproteobacteria; Enterobacterales; Enterobacteriaceae. The record is from RNAcentral.